AUUGAACGCUGGCGGCAGGCCUAACACAUGCAAGUCGAGCGGAUGAAGGGAGCUUGCUCCUGGAUUCAGCGGCGGACGGGUGAGUAAUGCCUAGGAAUCUGCCUGGUAGUGGGGGAUAACGUCCGGAAACGGGCGCUAAUACCGCAUACGUCCUGAGGGAGAAAGUGGGGGAUCUUCGGACCUCACGCUAUCAGAUGAGCCUAGGUCGGAUUAGCUAGUUGGUGGGGUAAAGGCCUACCAAGGCGACGAUCCGUAACUGGUCUGAGAGGAUGAUCAGUCACACUGGAACUGAGACACGGUCCAGACUCCUACGGGAGGCAGCAGUGGGGAAUAUUGGACAAUGGGCGAAAGCCUGAUCCAGCCAUGCCGCGUGUGUGAAGAAGGUCUUCGGAUUGUAAAGCACUGUUAGUUGGGAGGAAGGGCAGUAAGUUAAUACCUUGCUGUUUUGACGUUACCAACAGAAUAAGCACCGGCUAACUUCGUG
RNAcentral lists this ribosomal RNA (484 nucleotides) under uncultured bacterium. Its description in RNAcentral is "partial 16S ribosomal RNA". It matches the Rfam family "Bacterial small subunit ribosomal RNA", at positions 30 to 507 of the family's 1533-position model. The record is from RNAcentral.